GACGAACGCUGGCGGCGUGCUUAACACAUGCAAGUCGAACGGAAAGGCCCUGCUUUUGUGGGGUGCUCGAGUGGCGAACGGGUGAGUAACACGUGAGUAACCUGCCCUUGACUUUGGGAUAACUUCAGGAAACUGGGGCUAAUACCGGAUAGGAGCUCCUGCUGCAUGGUGGGGGUUGGAAAGUUUCGGCGGUUGGGGAUGGACUCGCGGCUUAUCAGCUUGUUGGUGGGGUAGUGGCUUACCAAGGCUUUGACGGGUAGCCGGCCUGAGAGGGUGACCGGCCACAUUGGGACUAAGAGACGGCCCAGACUCGUACGGGAGGCAGUAGUGGGAAGUCUUGCACAAUGGGCGGGAGCCUGAUGCAGCAACGCCGCGUGCGGGAUGACGGCCUUCGGGUGGUAAACCGCUGUCGCCUGUGACGAAGCGGGAGUGACGGUAAUGAGUAAAGAAGCACCGGCUAACUACGUG
This 468-nucleotide ribosomal RNA is filed under the name uncultured bacterium. RNAcentral describes it as "partial 16S ribosomal RNA". It matches the Rfam family "Bacterial small subunit ribosomal RNA", at positions 28 to 507 of the family's 1533-position model. The record is from RNAcentral.